GAAUAUUGCACAAUGGGGGCAACCCUGAUGCAGCCAUGCCGCGUGUGUGAAGAAGGCCUUCGGGUUGUAAAGCACUUUCAGCGAGGAGGAAAGGAUAAGGCUUAAUACGUCUUAUCUGUGACGUUACUCGCAGAAGAAGCACCGGCUAACUCCGUGCCAGCAGCCGCGGUAAUACGGAGGGUGCGAGCGUUAAUCGGAAUUACUGGGCGUAAAGCGCACGUAGGCGGUUGCUUAAGCGAGAUGUGAAAGCCCGGGGCUCAACCCCGGAAUUGCAUUUCGAACUGGGCGACUAGAGUACGAGAGAGGGUGGUAGAAUUUCCAGUGUAGCGGUGAAAUGCGUAGAGAUUGGAAGGAAUACCGGUGGCGAAGGCGGCCACCUGGCUCGAUACUGACGCUGAGGUGCGAAAGCGUGGGGAGCAAAC
Molecule: ribosomal RNA, 422 nt
Filed under: uncultured bacterium
Lineage: Bacteria
Description: bacterial SSU rRNA
Rfam family: Bacterial small subunit ribosomal RNA
Source: RNAcentral